Molecule: ribosomal RNA, 1545 nt
Filed under: Enterobacter hormaechei
Lineage: Bacteria; Pseudomonadati; Pseudomonadota; Gammaproteobacteria; Enterobacterales; Enterobacteriaceae
Description: bacterial SSU rRNA
Rfam family: Bacterial small subunit ribosomal RNA
Source: RNAcentral
AAAUUGAAGAGUUUGAUCAUGGCUCAGAUUGAACGCUGGCGGCAGGCCUAACACAUGCAAGUCGAACGGUAACAGGAAGCAGCUUGCUGCUUCGCUGACGAGUGGCGGACGGGUGAGUAAUGUCUGGGAAACUGCCUGAUGGAGGGGGAUAACUACUGGAAACGGUAGCUAAUACCGCAUAACGUCGCAAGACCAAAGAGGGGGACCUUCGGGCCUCUUGCCAUCGGAUGUGCCCAGAUGGGAUUAGCUAGUAGGUGGGGUAACGGCUCACCUAGGCGACGAUCCCUAGCUGGUCUGAGAGGAUGACCAGCCACACUGGAACUGAGACACGGUCCAGACUCCUACGGGAGGCAGCAGUGGGGAAUAUUGCACAAUGGGCGCAAGCCUGAUGCAGCCAUGCCGCGUGUAUGAAGAAGGCCUUCGGGUUGUAAAGUACUUUCAGCGGGGAGGAAGGCGAUAAGGUUAAUAACCUUGUCGAUUGACGUUACCCGCAGAAGAAGCACCGGCUAACUCCGUGCCAGCAGCCGCGGUAAUACGGAGGGUGCAAGCGUUAAUCGGAAUUACUGGGCGUAAAGCGCACGCAGGCGGUCUGUCAAGUCGGAUGUGAAAUCCCCGGGCUCAACCUCGGGAACUGCAUUCGAAACUGGCAGGCUAGAGUCUUGUAGAGGGGGGUAGAAUUCCGGUGUAGCGGUGAAAUGCGUAGAGAUCUGGAGGAAUACCGGUGGCGAAGGCGGCCCCCCUGGACAAAGACUGACGCUCAGGUGCGAAAGCGUGGGGAGCAAACAGGAUUAGAUACCCUCGGUAGUCCACGCCGUAAACGAUGUCGACUUGGAGGUUGUGCCCUUGAGGCGUGGCUUCCGGAGCUAACGCGUUAAGUCGACCGCACCGGGGAGUACGGCCGCAAGGUUAAAACUCAAAUGAAUUGACGGGGGCCCGCACAAGCGGUGGAGCAUGUGGUUUAAUUCGAUGCAACGCGAAGAACCUUACCUACUCUUGACAUCCAGAGAACUUUCCAGAGAUGGAUUGGUGCCUUCGGGAACUCUGAGACAGGUGCUGCAUGGCUGUCGUCAGCUCGUGUUGUGAAAUGUUGGGUUAAGUCCCGCAACGAGCGCAACCCUUAUCCUUUGUUGCCAGCGGUCCGGCCGGGAACUCAAAGGAGACUGCCAGUGAUAAACUGGAGGAAGGUGGGGAUGACGUCAAGUCAUCAUGGCCCUUACGAGUAGGGCUACACACGUGCUACAAUGGCGCAUACAAAGAGAAGCGACCUCGCGAGAGCAAGCGGACCUCAUAAAGUGCGUCGUAGUCCGGAUUGGAGUCUGCAACUCGACUCCAUGAAGUCGGAAUCGCUAGUAAUCGUGGAUCAGAAUGCCACGGUGAAUACGUUCCCGGGCCUUGUACACACCGCCCGUCACACCAUGGGAGUGGGUUGCAAAAGAAGUAGGUAGCUUAACCUUCGGGAGGGCGCUUACCACUUUGUGAUUCAUGACUGGGGUGAAGUCGUAACAAGGUAACCGUAGGGGAACCUGCGGUUGGAUCACCUCCUUA